UGGGGAAUAUUGGACAAUGGGCGAAAGCCUGAUCCAGCCAUGCCGCGUGUGUGAAGAAGGUCUUCGGAUUGUAAAGCACUUUAAGUUGGGAGGAAGGGCAUUAACCUAAUACGUUAGUGUUUUGACGUUACCGACAGAAUAAGCACCGGCUAACUCUGUGCCAGCAGCCGCGGUAAUACAGAGGGUGCAAGCGUUAAUCGGAAUUACUGGGCGUAAAGCGCGCGUAGGUGGUUUGUUAAGUUGGAUGUGAAAUCACCGGGCUCAACCUGGGAACUGCAUUCAAAACUGACUGACUAGAGUAUGGUAGAGGGUGGUGGAAUUUCCUGUGUAGCGGUGAAAUGCGUAGAUAUAGGAAGGAACACCAGUGGCGAAGGCGACCACCUGGACUAAUACUGACACUGAGGUGCGAAAGCGUGGGGAGCAAACA
Molecule: ribosomal RNA, 427 nt
Filed under: uncultured bacterium
Lineage: Bacteria
Description: partial 16S ribosomal RNA
Rfam family: Bacterial small subunit ribosomal RNA
Source: RNAcentral